This 746-nucleotide ribosomal RNA is filed under the name Streptomyces misionensis. RNAcentral describes it as "bacterial SSU rRNA". It matches the Rfam family "Bacterial small subunit ribosomal RNA", at positions 97 to 855 of the family's 1533-position model. Lineage: Bacteria; Bacillati; Actinomycetota; Actinomycetes; Kitasatosporales; Streptomycetaceae. The record is from RNAcentral.
GGCGAAACGGGUGAGUAACACGUGGGCAAUCUGCCCUGCACCUGGGACAAGCCCUGGAAACGGGGUCUAAUACCGGAUAUGACCACCUAGGGGCAUCCCUUGGUGGUGUAAAGCUCCGGCGGUGCAGAUGAGCCCGCGGCCUAUCACCUUGUUGGUGAGGUAACGGCUCACCAAGGCAACAACGGGUAGCCGGCCUGAAAGGGCGACCGGCCACACUGGGACUGAAACACGGCCCAAACUUCCACGGGAGGCAGCAGUGGGGAAUAUUGCACAAUGGGCGAAAGCCUGAUGCACCGACCCCGCGUGAGGGAUGACGGCCUUCGGGUUGUAAACCUCUUUCACCAGGGAAAAAGCGAGAGUGACGGUACCUGCAAAAAAAGCGCCGGCUAACUACUUGCCACCAGCCGCGUAAUACGUAGGGCGCAAGCGUUGUCCGGAAUUAUUGGGCGUAAAGAGCUCGUAGGCGGCUUGGUCACGUCGGUUGUGAAAGCCCGGGGCUUAACCCCGGGUCUGCAGUCAAUACGGGCAGGCUAAGUUCGGUAGGGGAGAUCGGAAUUCCUGGUGUACCGGUGAAAUGCGCAAAUAUCAGGAGGAACACCGGUGGCGAAGGCGGAAUCUCUGGGCCGAUACUGACGCUGAGGAGCGAAGCGUGGGGAGCGAACAGGAUUAGAUACCCUGGUAGUCCACGCCGUAAACGGUGGGCACUAGGUGUGGGCAACAUUCCACGUUGUCCGUGCCGCAGCUAA